AGAGUUUGAUCAUGGCUCAGAACGAACGCUGGCGGCAUGCCUAACACAUGCAAGUCGAACGAGACCUUCGGGUCUAGUGGCGCACGGGUGCGUAACGCGUGGGAACCUGCCUUUAGGUUCGGAAUAACUCAGAGAAAUUUGAGCUAAUACCGGAUAAUGUCUUCGGACCAAAGAUUUAUCGCCUUUAGAUGGGCCCGCGUAAGGUUAGCUAGUUGGUGGGGUAAAGGCCUACCAAGGCGACGAUCCUUAGCUGGUCUGAGAGGAUGAUCAGCCACACUGGGACCGAGACACGGCCCAGACUCCUACGGGAGGCAGCAGUGGGGAAUAUUGGACAAUGGGCGAAAGCCUGAUCCAGCAAUGCCGCGUGAGUGAUGAAGGCCUUAGGGUUGUAAAGCUCUUUUACCCGGGAUGAUAAUGACAGUACCGGGAGAAUAAGCCCCGGCUAACUCCGUG
Molecule: ribosomal RNA, 453 nt
Filed under: uncultured bacterium
Lineage: Bacteria
Description: bacterial SSU rRNA
Rfam family: Bacterial small subunit ribosomal RNA
Source: RNAcentral